AGGAAUUCCUGGAGGAAUCCCCGAAGGAAUUCCUGGAGGAAUCCCCGAAGGAAUUCCUGGAGGAAUCCCCGAAGGAAUUCCUGGAGGAAUCCCCGAAGGAAUUCCUGGAGGAAUCCCCGAAGGAAUUCCUGGAGGAAUCCCCGAAGGAAUUCCUGGAGGAAUCCCCGAAGGAAUUCCUGGAUGAAUCCCCGAAGGAAUCCCUGGAGGAAUCAUCGAAGGAAUUCCUGGAGGAAUCUGCGAAGGAAUCCUGGAGGAAUCCCCGAAGGAAUCCUGGAGGAAUCCCCGAGAGAAUUUUUGGAGGAAUCCCCGAGGAUUUCCUGGAGGAAUCCUCGAAGGAAUUCCUGGAGGAAUCCCCGAAGGAAUUCCUGGAGGAAUCCCCGAAGGAAUUCCUGGAGGAAUCCCCGAAGGAAUUCCUGGAGGAAUCCCCGAAGGAAUUCCUGGAGGAAUCCCCGAAGGAAUUCCUGGAGGAAUCCCCGAAGGAAUUUCUGGAGGAAUCCCCGAAGGAAUUCCUCUAGGAGUUCGUGAAGGCAUUCCUGGAGGAAUCCCCGAAGGAAUUCCCGGAGGAAUCCCCGAAGGAAUUCCUGGAGGAAUCCCCGAUAGUAUUCCUGGAGGAAUUGUAACGCCUUUCUGUUUGAUUUUUGUUGUACAUAAUAUUUUGUAGUAAAAUCAUAAUUUCUAGCAUCCAUAACGAUUUAAAAUUAGUUUUUGAUAAUUUUUAGAUGUGCGAUAAUUUUAUAGCAUGUUUUGAUAAUUUUAAGAACCAUUCAUAUAUCAGCCGCCAAUUUAUAAUUUCCAACCAUAAAUUUAGAAGCUUUAUCUGGAUAAAGCUAAAUAGUGGCAAACCUUAGAUGUAGAUGACCCGUAGAUUAAAUAAUUUCGUCUAAUGUUGUUUGAAAGUAUGCGUGAAUGUUAAAUGUCAUUGAAAGUGACUAAGCAUUUUAGGGUAUGAAGUAAAAAGUUCGCAGCUACUAUUUGACUUCUAAAUCAUUUAGGCUGAAGAGUAGAAGCCAGUUCUGUGAUUUUCUACGUUGCUAUUUUUUCUAAAAAGUUCCAGUUUUUAUAUCACGAGGAACAGAGGUUCUGCUCUCGUGCAUUUUUCUAUGGUACAAAAGGUAAUUUCUUAUUGAAUUCUUUUAAUUGUUUGAAACUAAUCAAUGAUUCAAAUCGGACAGCAGCGUCCGAUUGACGCUUUUUGUACGGGCUUGAAAGCUCUACGGCCUUCGCUGGCCCAGUUACGUUCCACGAAGUGCCAUUCCGGACCGUGCGGGCCCGCCAUUACGGUAGCCAAACGGGGAAAGAGGCAAUCCGACCUGCCGAGAGUCUUCGAGGGAAGGUUUCAUUUCGUCACGGUGGUUGAGUAGUCCCGCAGGCGAGAACCAGUUGGAGGCACGUUGGCCUUCCGGACGAGAGGAGACGGUAGAGUAUCGGUCCAUCAGCCGCAGCCCAUCCCCGCAACGUUGUUUCGGCCCAUCACGCACGUGUGCCCCUCCCGACGACGCUUCUGUCGAGGAGCCCUGGUGAUCCCUGGAACAAAAGGUUCGGACACCCGCUGUAGCCGGUACCCCGGCCGCUGAACGUCACGGACUGUUGACCCACCCCUGUCGGUUCGAGCAGCUGCCAGCACCAGCAUAAAAUCCCUGAUCAGGUAUGUCGUAAAGCAUGGCCAUGUCACACACACUACAACACAUACACUUUCACGUUACACAUAAAUGAA
Aedes albopictus (Asian tiger mosquito) is the source of this 1714-nucleotide long non-coding RNA. RefSeq lists it as uncharacterized. NCBI's taxonomy places the organism in Eukaryota, Metazoa, Arthropoda, Insecta, Diptera, Culicidae. The transcript has 2 exons. The record is from RefSeq and is a predicted model, not a curated record.